AAAUUUGGAUUAAUACCUCAUAGUAUGUGAGGAUGGCAUCAUUUCACAUUAAAGUCACAACGGCAAAAGAUGAGCAUGCGUCCCAUUAGCUAGUUGGUAAGGUAACGGCUUACCAAGGCUACGAUGGGUAGGGGUCCUGAGAGGGAGAUCCCCCACACUGGUACUGAGACACGGACCAGACUCCUACGGGAGGCAGCAGUGAGGAAUAUUGGACAAUGGGCGCAAGCCUGAUCCAGCCAUGCCGCGUGCAGGAUGACGGUCCUAUGGAUUGUAAACUGCUUUUAUACAGGAAGAAACACUCCGACGUGUCGGAGCUUGACGGUACUGUAAGAAUAAGGAUCGGCUAACUCCGUG
This 354-nucleotide ribosomal RNA is filed under the name uncultured bacterium. Its description in RNAcentral is "bacterial SSU rRNA". It matches the Rfam family "Bacterial small subunit ribosomal RNA", at positions 154 to 507 of the family's 1533-position model. The record is from RNAcentral.